CCAAACUCAAACAACCCGCUUUAAAUGCGUCACGUGAGUGUAAUGUGGCGGGUCACAUGGAUCUCAGGCGGUUCUGAAACUUGUGUUUGGACGGAAUAUGGUCCCAGAAGUCCAGCAACGAUCAAAAAAAGGUCUUACUGUACUAAUGAAAGGAGGAACGGAAAUGUGACGGGAACGUCCUGUUUGAGAAUACGCGGAGGUGAAGUGAGCGAGGACUUUAAUGUGUCAGCAGCUUAGAAAGGUGAAAGCUGAGCACAUGUCCAAGGCAGCCUGAACGUUCAGGGGGAAAUUGUAAUGAACUGGAAGUCUCGCACGUUCACAGAUAACAGCUUACUUCUGCGUUGA
Onychostoma macrolepis is the source of this 345-nucleotide long non-coding RNA. RefSeq lists it as uncharacterized. The transcript has 3 exons. NCBI's taxonomy places the organism in Eukaryota, Metazoa, Chordata, Actinopteri, Cypriniformes, Cyprinidae. The record is from RefSeq and is a predicted model, not a curated record.